Micropterus dolomieu (smallmouth bass) is the source of this 815-nucleotide long non-coding RNA. RefSeq lists it as uncharacterized. The transcript has 3 exons. Lineage: Eukaryota; Metazoa; Chordata; Actinopteri; Centrarchiformes; Centrarchidae. The record is from RefSeq and is a predicted model, not a curated record.
UGAGGACACCGGAGAGGAGGAGCAAUAAGGAAAUGGGAAGAGAACAUGUGUUUGCGUACCAGCGUUGUUGAUGAGCAGGUCCAGCCUGGACUCAGUUUUCAGGAACGUUUUGGCAAAGCAGCGGACGGACUUCAGACUGGCCAGGUCCAACUGCAUGUAGAGCACAUCAGUACUUCCUAUAUCUUGUAUCCUCCAGACAGUCUCACCUGUGAUGAUGACGGUCUUCCCGGCCAUCGCUGCGUUUCCUUUACAUUUGGAUCUUUUGAAGAGAGUCUGUGUGAGGAUGAUGUAAGCUCCCAGAACCACACCGACCAACAACAGGAGAUACAUGGUUUGUUACAGCGUCUGAUCCACCUGCAAAUCACUGACUGACUCAAGAACUGAGCUCUGUCAUUUAUUCACCUCGUGGGACUCACCUGUCGGACCAGUUCUACCUGCUUGAGCCUGGCAGGUGAGUCACAGCUCAGGCAGAUCCAACUGGUUCUGCUGGCAUUCCUUAUCAGUCAGCACUGAUGUUGAACUGAAACUCCUGCUGCUGUUCAAACGUUAAUGGGAAGGGAACUCCAUUCAGGAGUCUGCCCCUCUCCAGUUUUAACUUGGACUUGACUUAGCAUCUUAGCAUCGUCGUUGUGGGCAUUUAUAUUUAUUACUGAACCCCGUCUACACUCACAACUCCGGAUCAGUUUAGAAUACUUCUGUUGCACUCCCUUUGUACAUAUGCACAUCUGCACUAUCUUGUAAAUUAACUAUUAUUUGGUCAUUUGCAGAAUUUCCUUCAUCAUUUUUUGUUUAUUUGUAUUGCUGUUAUUUGUAUU